RNAcentral lists this ribosomal RNA (420 nucleotides) under bacterium. Its description in RNAcentral is "partial 16S ribosomal RNA". It matches the Rfam family "Bacterial small subunit ribosomal RNA", at positions 355 to 776 of the family's 1533-position model. The record is from RNAcentral.
UGGGGGAUAUUGCACAAUGGGCGAAAGCCUGAUGCAGCGACGCCGCGUGGGGGAUGAAGGCUUUCGGGUUGUAAACCUCUUUCGCUAUCGAACAAGGCCCGCUUAGGGUGGGUUGAGGGUAGGUGGAGAAGAAGCGCCGGCUAACUACGUGCCAGCAGCCGCGGUAAUACGUAGGGCGCGAGCGUUGUCCGGAAUUAUUGGGCGUAAAGGGCUUGUAGGCGGCUUGUUGCGCCUGCUGUGAAAACGCGGGGCUUAACUUCGCGCGUGCAGUGGGUACGGGCAGGCUUGAGUGUGGUAGGGGUGACUGGACUUCCAGGUGUAGCAGUGGAAUGCGCAGAUAUCUGGAGGAACACCGAUGGCGAAGGCAGGUCACUGGGCCAUUACUGACGCUGAGGAGCGAAAGCAUGGGUAGCGAACAGG